GGGCCUCAGCCUCCCUGCCUGGCACCGUGGUCCCUCUUGUCUUUCUUUUGGGUGCUUGCUCCCUGGAGUCUCUGUGCACCAAGUGGGGGCAUUGGCGGAAAUCCGAGCAAAACCCGGCUCCUCCUGUGGGCAGAACGUGGGCCCAGGACAGUGGUCAGUGUAAGGGGCCCAGAGCCUGCUGGACGGCGGGUGCAGUGGGACCUGGGCGUCAGCGACAGGAAGUGGGCACGUGUCACAGGUGACAAGUGGGGGAGCUGCGGUUCAGGCCACCUUAACGCUAGGACCCCUGGCGUCUCCCUCCUGCCUGCAGCGUGGGGGCCGGCCUUGGGGCACAGAGGGGAGGCCGCUACCUGCGACGCCAGCUCCCGCGUCAGCAGCCCCGGCCGCUCCACUUCCGGCCCAGCCCUCUGCUGUGCCCUGGGAGAGCAGCAGAGGACGGGCCUGCACCCGCGUGGGAGACCUGGAUGCGGUUCCAGGCUCUCGGCUUCGGCCAACCCUGGCUGUUGCAGCCAUCUGGGUGGUGAGCCACUGGAUGGAAGGUCUCUCUCUCUCUCUCUCUCUCUCUCUCUCUCGGAUCGAGCUACAGAACGAAGCUGCGGUGGCUGUGUGCCGUCCUGCAAGGGCCCUCAGCCAGACCCCUGGCUGGGGAUGCUGCCAUGGGAGGCGGGCGGAGGUGGCCGUCACUCGCCCCGGAGUUGGGCGGCUCCCGAGGUCCCGAGCCCCCAAGGUCGGCGCGGUGAUCGGCGAGCCCAGAGAGGACAGCCGCUCCUCCCGCCCUGCCCGCCGCCAUCUGCUGCUGGUUAAGGCCGGAGAGCCGGCAUCAGCCCCUCCCUGGCACAGCCGCCUCCCGUGUCCCGCGUCUCCAGCACACACGUGGACGGGGUUCACACGCCAGUCACAGCACCGUCUCCUCACGGGCACACAGGUGCGGGGCCAGCUUGCUUCCUCCCCACCCUCAACACUGAUUUUCCUGGGGCCGGAGCUGUGGCGUAGUGACCUUGGCAUUCCUUACGGAUGCUGGUGCGAGUCCUGGCUGCUCCACUCCAGGGCCAGCUCCCCGCUACUGCGCCUGGGAAAGCAGCAGAGGACGGUCCAAGUGCCUGGGCCCCUGCACCCGCAUGGGAGACCCGGAUGGAGCUCCUGGACCCUGCUUUGGUCCAGCCUUGACGUCGGAGCCCAUCUGGGGAAUGAACCAGCAGAUGGAAGAUCUCUCCCUGUCUUUCCCUCUCUGCCUUUCAAACAAACAAAUAAAUCUUUUUAAAAAUAAAGUAUAAAAUAAAACCA
RNAcentral lists this long non-coding RNA (1284 nucleotides) under Oryctolagus cuniculus (rabbit). RNAcentral describes it as "lncRNA (ENSOCUG00000037147.1)". Lineage: Eukaryota; Metazoa; Chordata; Mammalia; Lagomorpha; Leporidae. The record is from RNAcentral.